AGCUCCAAUAGCGUAUAUUAAAGUUGUUGCAGUUAAAAAGCUCGUAGUUGGAUUUCUGGGAGGGUGCCAAUGUCCGCCGACGUGCGUGCGCAGCGGCGCCCUCUCAUCCUUCUGUUAACGUCUCUCGGCAUUUAUUUGCCGGUGGCGGGCUCAGAUAUUUUACCUUGAGAAAAUUAGAGUGUUUCAGGCAGGCUAGGCCGGAAUACAUUAGCAUGGAAUAAUGGAAUAGGACUUCGGUCUCUUUGUUGGUUUGAGGGACUGCAGUAAUGAUUAAUAGGGAUAGUUGGGGGCAUUAGUAUUUAAUUGUCAGAGGUGGAAUUCUCGGAUUUGUUAAAGACUAACUUAUGCGAAAGCAUUUGCCAAGGAUGUUUUCAUUA
Molecule: ribosomal RNA, 377 nt
Filed under: Oligotrichia sp.
Lineage: Eukaryota; Ciliophora; Spirotrichea
Description: SSU rRNA
Rfam family: Eukaryotic small subunit ribosomal RNA
Source: RNAcentral